This 490-nucleotide ribosomal RNA is filed under the name uncultured bacterium. Its description in RNAcentral is "partial 16S ribosomal RNA". It matches the Rfam family "Bacterial small subunit ribosomal RNA", at positions 28 to 507 of the family's 1533-position model. The record is from RNAcentral.
GAUGAACGCUAGCUACAGGCUUAACACAUGCGAGUCGAGGGGCAGCAUGGUCUUAGCUUGCUAAGGCCGAUGGCGACCGGCGCACGGGUGAGUAACACGUAUCCAACCUGCCGUCUACUCUUGGACAGCCUUCUGAAAGGAAGAUUAAUACAAGAUGGCAUCAUGAGUCCGCAUGUUCACAUGAUUAAAGGUAUUCCGGUAGACGAUGGGGAUGCGUUCCAUUAGAUAGUAGGCGGGGUAACGGCCCACCUAGUCUUCGAUGGAUAGGGGUUCUGAGAGGAAGGUCCCCCACAUUGGAACUGAGACACGGUCCAAACUCCUACGGGAGGCAGCAGUGAGGAAUAUUGGUCAAUGGGCGAGAGCCUGAACCAGCCAAGUAGCGUGAAGGACGACUGCCCUAUGGGUUGUAAACUUCUUUUAUAAAGGAAUAAAGUCGGGUAUGGAUACCCGUUUGCAUGUACUUUAUGAAUAAGGAUCGGCUAACUCCGUG